GACGAACGCUGGCGGCGUGCUUAACACAUGCAAGUCGAACGGAAAGGCCUUUUCGGAGGUACUCGAGUGGCGAACGGGUGAGUAACACGUGGGUGAUCUGCCCUGCACUCUGGGAUAAGCCUGGGAAACUGGGUCUAAUACCGGAUAGGACCGCACUUUAGUGUGUGUGGUGGAAAGUUUUUUCGGUGUAGGAUGAGCCCGCGGCCUAUCAGCUUGUUGGUGGGGUAAUGGCCUACCAAGGCGGCGACGGGUAGCCGGACUGAGAGGUUGGUCGGCCACAUUGGGACUGAGAUACGGCCAGACUCCUACGGGAGGCAGCAGUGGGGAAUAUUGCACAAUGGGCGCAAGCCUGAUGCAGCGACGCCGCGUGGGGGAUGACGGCCUUCGGGUUGUAAACUCCUUUCGCCAGGGACGAAGCGUUUUGUGACGGUACCUGGAGAAGAAGCACCGGCUAACUACGUG
This 462-nucleotide ribosomal RNA is filed under the name uncultured bacterium. RNAcentral's name for it is "partial 16S ribosomal RNA". It matches the Rfam family "Bacterial small subunit ribosomal RNA", at positions 28 to 507 of the family's 1533-position model. The record is from RNAcentral.